CAUCAAUUGAAGUUUUAGUGAUGCAGCUGAACAAUGAGAUCAGCACCUCGGGGGUUAAACUUUUUUUUCAGUAUCCAAUGCAUUCUGGGAUGUAGAAUGAAGCACAAUGGCGGCGAAACUGAAUCACUUGCAACUUUUUUGUGGUCUGUUAUUUCUUUACAGAAAUAUUGCUACAAAUUAGUCUAACGUUUGCUAAAGAGUUAACGUGUGACGACAAUGGCUACAUUUUAUUUUGUCCUUGCAUGGGUACAUGUCCCCUACAGUGAGUUCUUCCAGCUAGAGGCCCUGACCCACUACCACUGCGUGGUAAGCCUAGAGGACUUGAUGAAGCAGCUGGCCCCAACACUCUGGCCUAAGGGCAGCCUACGUAGUCAGCUGUGUAAGACCAGAAGUCCUGCCCCAUGAAGGUGAGUGUUGUGAUUGAGGUGUAGUCAGAGAUGAUUACUGAGGACUGUUGUUUAGGUAUUGAGCCUAGUUACCAAAAAAAUACACUUUGAAACUGGUCAGAGAGAUUGUUCCAUGACCUAGCAUUCAGACAGUCUGUCUUUUUAUAUCAAUUUAAAUUCCUUUCUUGUAACUAAUUAAUUGAUUUGGUGGUGUUCAUGCCUAUGAAAAGACUGCCAUGGCACAGUAAAACACUGCCCCCUGGUGGACUGUUACUAUAACUGUAUUUAACCCACACAUCUCUCACACACCAUCUACACUAAACAAAAAUAGAAUUGCAACAUGGAAAGUGUUGGUCCCAUGUUUCAUGAGCUGAAAUAAAAGAUACCAGGAAUGUUCCAUGAGCACAAAAAAAACAUUUAUCUCAAAUUUUGUUCACAAAUUAGUUUACAUACACUACCGUUCAAAGGUUUGGGGAAAUUUCCUUCAGACAUUAAUGUUGUAAAUGACUAUUGUAGCUGGAAACAUCAGAUUACAAAAAAUGUAAUAUCUACAUAGGCGUACAGAGGCCCAUUAUCAGCAACCACCACUCCUGUGUUCCAAUGGCACGUUGUAUUAGCUAAUCCAAGUUUAUAAUUUGAAAAGGAUAAUAGAUCAUUAGAAAAACCCUUUUGUAAUUAUGUUAGCACAGCUGAAAACUGUUCUGAUUUAAAGAAGCAAUAAAACUGGCCUUUAGACUAGUUCAGUAUCUGGAGCGUCAGCAUUUGUGGGUUCAAUUAUAGUCUCAAAAUUACCAGAAACAAAUGCCUUCUGAAACCUGUCAGUCUAUUCUUGUUCUGGGAAAUGAAGGCUGUGUACGACUCCCUUCACAGAACAGCGCAAACUGGCUCUAACCAGAAUAGAAAGAGGAGUGGGAGGCCCCGGUGCACAACUGAGCAAGAGGACAAAUACAUUAGUGUCUAGUUUGAGAAACGGACAUCUCAGAAGUCCUCAACUGGCAGCUUCAUUAAAUAGCACCCACAAAACACCAGUCUCAACGUCAACAGUGAAGAGGCGACUCUGGGAUGCUGGCCGAAAGGAUUCAUCACCAUGGUCCGGCUGAGGAGACAUCAGAUCGCCGUUCACACGCAGGGAGAAAUGUUCUUCUGUAAAUGAGCAACAGCUGUAAAAGCAUGCAGGCCUUGAAACACACAGUAGAGUACAGAGAGAUGUCCUGGUGCCCUGUCCUGGUGCCCUGUCCUGGUGCCCCAGCUCAGUUCCCUGUGAUACAGGAGUAUAUGGGUCUGCAGCAGUAUGUAGUGUAGGAGGGAGGAACAGGAACCAGAUCGCUGCUCGGCUGCCCAGGCCAUAUGUGGACGUACAGCUGAGGAUUGGUUCUGGUUGGAUGAGCUGGGAAUACACACAAAUACACACACUCAGUCGAUGAGCUGGGAACACACAAAUACACACACUCAGUCGAUGAGCUGGGAACACACAAAUACACACACUCAGUCCGUGUGGCUCAGUCGAUGAGCUGGGAACACACAAAUACACACACUCAGUCGAUGAGCUGGGAACACACAAAUACACACACUCAGUCGAUGAGCUGGGAACACACAAAUACACACACUUGGCCGUUGUGGCUCAGUCGGUAAAGCAUGACCAUGUGUUAUAACCCCCUCACCAUGACCAUGUGCUUCCCGGAUCUAGCUGAGAUCCGCCGGGCCCUCAAGCUCUGGGUCAAGAAAACCUCUGCCUGUUCUGUUUACAUCGCCACAGUCCCACCUCACUAAGAUCCGCUGGGCCCUCAAGCUCUGGGUCAAGAAAACCCACCUCGCUGAGAUCCAAAAGUUCUUCCAAUAAGGUGAAGGUGGUGAGCUUCAAGCCAGACGUGGCUCAGAUGGACUUGUACAUCUUGUCCUUCUGUAGCUCAGUUGGUAGAGCAUGGCGCUUGUAACGCCAGGGUAGUGGGUUCGAUUCCCGGGACCACCCAUACGUAGAAU
Molecule: long non-coding RNA, 2366 nt
Organism: Oncorhynchus keta (chum salmon)
Lineage: Eukaryota; Metazoa; Chordata; Actinopteri; Salmoniformes; Salmonidae
Exons: 3
Source: RefSeq, a predicted model, not a curated record